UAGGGGAUUAGUGGCRAAYGGGURAGUAACAYSUGGGCUAUCUGCCCUGCACUCUGGGACAAGCCCUGGAGACGGGGUCUAAUACCGGAWACGACCACWUCAGGCWUMUGAAGGUGGUGGAAAGCUCCCGCGGUGCARGAUGAGCCCGCGCCCUAUCAGCUUGUUGGUGAGGUAACGGCUCACCACGGCGACSACGGGUAGCCGGCCUGAGAGGGCGACCGGSCACACUGGGACUGAAACACGGCCCAUACUCCAACRGGAGGCAGCCUUGGGGAAUAUUGCACAAUGGGGAAAARUCUAAUUCAACAWCCCCUCUUGAGGGAAGACCGCCUUCGGGUUUUAAACCUCAGUAAKCAUGUUACAACCUAA
This 369-nucleotide ribosomal RNA is filed under the name Actinomycetes bacterium. RNAcentral's name for it is "Actinobacteria bacterium partial 16S ribosomal RNA". It matches the Rfam family "Bacterial small subunit ribosomal RNA", at positions 85 to 454 of the family's 1533-position model. Lineage: Bacteria; Bacillati; Actinomycetota; Actinomycetes. The record is from RNAcentral.